AGCUCCAAUAGCGUAUAUUUAAGUUGUUGCAGUUAAAAAGCUCGUAGUUGGAUCUUGGGUCGGGGGGAGCGGUCCGCCCCUUGUGGGUGUGCACUGGUCCACCCGGCCUUUCUGCCGGGGACGCGCUCCUGGCCUUCGCUGGUCGGGACGCGGAGUCGGCGAUGUUACUUUGAAAAAAUUAGAGUGCUCAAAGCAAGCCUAUGCUCUGAAUACAUUAGCAUGGAAUAACGUGAUAGGACUCUGGUCCUGUUGUGUUGGUCUUCGGGACCGGAGUAAUGAUUAAUAGGGACAGUUGGGGGCAUUCGUAUUUCAUUGUCAGAGGUGAAAUUCUUGGAUUUAUGAAAGACGAACUUCUGCGAAAGCAUUUGCCAAGGAUGUUUUCAUUA
This 386-nucleotide ribosomal RNA is filed under the name Ceratodon sp. RNAcentral's name for it is "partial small subunit ribosomal RNA". It matches the Rfam family "Eukaryotic small subunit ribosomal RNA", at positions 587 to 975 of the family's 1831-position model. Lineage: Eukaryota; Viridiplantae; Streptophyta; Bryopsida; Pseudoditrichales; Ditrichaceae. The record is from RNAcentral.